This 226-nucleotide long non-coding RNA is filed under the name Trifolium pratense (red clover). RNAcentral describes it as "long non-coding RNA (TPRA_LNC008855)". The record is from RNAcentral. Lineage: Eukaryota; Viridiplantae; Streptophyta; Magnoliopsida; Fabales; Fabaceae.
UAAUUUUCAUUGAUUGAUUCAUUAUUAUUUUAGAAAGAAUUUAUAUCGAAUUUAUUGACUCAUUUAAAUCUUAAAAGUCUAUAAAAUACUUCAAAAUCUCAAAAGUCUGUGUCAUAAAGUCUCACAAAUUCUUGUGUUAAGAAUCUUGAUUGAAAAAGUCAUUCAAAAAAGUCUUCUAAAAUCUCAUAAAAUCAAUACAAUCUCACAAAGUCUUUUAAAAUCUUCA